Molecule: non-coding RNA, 359 nt
Organism: Kogia breviceps (pygmy sperm whale)
Lineage: Eukaryota; Metazoa; Chordata; Mammalia; Artiodactyla; Physeteridae
Source: RefSeq, a predicted model, not a curated record
UUAAUCCAAUCUUCACAACAACCUUAUGAGGAAGAUACCACUGGGUCUACAUACCUUAACCACAGUUCCAAAAUCCAAAAAGCUCUAAAAAUUAAAAAUUGGAAAGUAGUAAAAAGCUCAAUAACACUGUGUUGGAGAAGAUGUGACAAAACAGCCACUCAUACGUUGUUUGCAGUAAGGAGAAAGCUCAAGAAGCUGGUACCUGUGAUUGCUGCUGGGAGAAGAACCAGGAGCCUGGGGGUGAGGAAUGGGAGGGAGGCUCACCAUUCAGUAUCAUGUAUACCUUGGGAUCUCACAGAGCCUGCUGCACAUAAAUAAAACUUACCUGCCUUAAUGAGAGCCUCAUUACUUUUAAUUGU